RNAcentral lists this ribosomal RNA (443 nucleotides) under uncultured bacterium. RNAcentral describes it as "partial 16S ribosomal RNA". It matches the Rfam family "Bacterial small subunit ribosomal RNA", at positions 338 to 795 of the family's 1533-position model. The record is from RNAcentral.
CCUACGGGUGGCAGCAGUGGGGAAUAUUGCACAAUGGGGGGAACCCUGAUCCAGCGACGCCGCGUGAGUGAAGAAGUAUUUCGGUAUGUAAAGCUCUAUCAGCAGGGAAGAAAGUAAUGACGGUACCUGACUAAGAAGCCCCGGCUAACUACGCGCCAGCAGCCGUGGUAAUACGUAGGGGGCAAGCGUUCUCCGGAUCUACUGGGUGUAAAGGGCGUGUAGCCGGGCGGACAAGUCAGCUGUGAAAUCCGAGGGCUUAACCGCGGAACUGCAUUUGAAACUGUUGAUCUAGAGUGUAGGAGAGGUAAGCGGAAUUCCUAGUGUAGCGGUGAAAUGCGUAGAUAUUAGGAGGAACACCAGUGGCGAAGGCGGCCUGCUGGACGACAACUGACGGUGAGGCGCGAAAGCGUGGGGAGCAAACAGGAUUAGAUACCCCAGUAGUC